GUGCCAGCCGCCGCGGAUAAUACGUAGGGGGCGAGCGUUGUCCGGAAUGAUUGGGCGUAAAGGGCGCGUAGGCGGCCAUUUAAGUCUGGAGUGAAAGUCCUGUUUUCAAGAUGGGAAUUGCUUUGGAUACUGGAUGGCUUGAGUGCAGGAGAGGUUAUCGGAAUUCCCGGUGUAGCGGUGAAAUGCGUAAGAUCGGGAGGAACACCAGUGGCGAAGGCGGGUAACUGGACUGCAACUGACGCUGAGGCGCGAAAGUGUGGGGAGCAAACAGGAUUAGAUACCCUGGUAGUCCACACUGUAAACGAUGAAUGCUAGGUGUAAGAGGUAUCGACCCCUUUUGUGCCGGAGUUAACACAAUAAGCAUUCCGCCUGGGGAGUACGGCCGCAAGGUUGAAACUCAAAGGAAUUGACGGGGGCCCGCACAAGCAGCGGAGCAUGUGGUUUAAUUCGACGCAACGCGAAGAACCUUACCAGGUCUUGACAUCCACUUAAGCCCAUAGAGAUAUGGGGUCUCUUCGGAGGAAGUGAGACAGGUGGUGCAUGGUUGUCGUCAGCUCGUGUCGUGAGAUGUUGGGUUAAGUCCCGCAACGAGCGCAACCCUUGCCAAUAGUUACUAACGAGUAAAGUUGAGGACUCUAUUGGGACUGCCGGGGACAACUCGGAGGAAGGUGGGGACGACGUCAAAUCAUCAUGCCCCUUAUGACCUGGGCUACACACGUGCUACAAUGGCCGUAACAGAGAGAGCGAAAGUGCAAGCUGGAGCAGAUCUCAAAAAAGCGGUCUCAGUUCGGAUUGUGGGCUGCAACCCGCCCACAUGAAGUCGGAGUUGCUAGUAAUCGCGGAUCAGCAUGGCCGCGGUGAAUACGUUCCCGGGCCUUGUACACACCGCCCGU
This 893-nucleotide ribosomal RNA is filed under the name uncultured bacterium. RNAcentral describes it as "bacterial SSU rRNA". It matches the Rfam family "Bacterial small subunit ribosomal RNA", at positions 505 to 1397 of the family's 1533-position model. The record is from RNAcentral.